AUGGUAGGAUAGAGGCCUACCAUGGUGGUAACGGGUAACGGGGUGUUAGGGCACGACACCGGAGAGGGAGCCUGAGAAACGGCUACCACAUCCAAGGAAGGCAGCAGGCGCGCAAAUUACCCAAUCCCGACACGGGGAGGUAGUGACAAUAAAUAACAAUACAGGGCUCUUUUGGGUCUUGUAAUCGGAAUGAGUACAAUUUAAAUCUCUUAACGAGGAACAAUUGGAGGGCAAGUCUGGUGCCAGCAGCCGCGGUAAUUCCAGCUCCAAUAGCGUAUAUUAAAGUUGUUGCAGUUAAAAAGCUCGUAGUUGAAUUUCGGAAUCAAUAUGUCGGUCGUGCCUUCGGUACGUACUGGUAUCAUUGGUUUCUCCUUUCUGACGAACCAUGAUGUCAUUAAUUUGGUGUUAUGGGGAGUUAGGACUGUUACUUUGAAAAAAUUAGAGUGUUUAAAGCAGGCUUUAGCUUGAAUACAUUAGCAUGGAAUAAUGAAAUAGGACGUUCGAACCUAUUUUGUUGGUUUCUAGGAUCAACGUAAUGAUUAAUAGGGAUAGUUGGGGGCAUUAGUAUUCAAUUGUCAGAGGUGAAAUUCUUGGAUUUAUUGAAGACUAACUACUGCGAAAGCAUUUGCCAAGGAUGUUUUCAUUAAUCAAGAACGAAAGUUAGGGGAUCGAAGACGAUCAGAUACCGUCGUAGUCUUAACCAUAAACUAUGCCGACUAGGGAUCGGAUGAUGUUAAUUUUUUAAUGACUCAUUCGACGCCUUACGGGAAACCAAAGUGUUUGGG
This 785-nucleotide ribosomal RNA is filed under the name uncultured Glomus. RNAcentral's name for it is "SSU rRNA". It matches the Rfam family "Eukaryotic small subunit ribosomal RNA", at positions 325 to 1111 of the family's 1831-position model. Lineage: Eukaryota; Fungi; Glomeromycota; Glomeromycetes; Glomerales; Glomeraceae. The record is from RNAcentral.